GUGUUACUUCAGAAUAUUGGGUUUUUUUAGGUUGAAGUGAGUAUGUUCCCUUUAGAUUAUGUAGUGUAAUGAGUCUUAGAAUUUGUUUCAAUGCCCUGAGUUCUGUUACUUUAGAAACAUUAAUUUAAUUUCUGAAAAGAUUAUUUACAGGAAGAGGAUUGCCAAAAAAAUGGUCAAGAGAAGAGGAGGGAUACAAGGAACGGAAUCCUAGUAUCAGGAGGGAGAAAAGAAGCACAACCAAACAAUAAAAAGUCUUCCACCAUCUUGUGUCUGUUGGAUUAUUGCCAACUGGCAGUAUUUUCUUUGUUGGUGUUCCCUUGAGUUACCUAUUACAGUGCAGGAAGAAGGAAUGGUAAAAGUGCUGCUUAAUCUCCACACCAGUCUACUGAAUUUUAGGCAUGAAAACACUAUGAAUAAUGUCAUGUUUAUACUCUUUCAAAUAUCCUUAAAUAAGCUGGUAAUACCAGCUCUCAUCGUGAUUUGAACUUGAGACUACUAACACCUGGAUUGAAUGUUUUCUUUUUGGACAAGUUUCUUCUAGUGGAAAUGUCAACCCUCGGGUUAUACUUUUUGGUUCUCUGAUAU
This 585-nucleotide long non-coding RNA is filed under the name Linum usitatissimum (flax). RNAcentral describes it as "long non-coding RNA (LUSI_LNC005841)". The record is from RNAcentral. Lineage: Eukaryota; Viridiplantae; Streptophyta; Magnoliopsida; Malpighiales; Linaceae.